This 273-nucleotide ribosomal RNA is filed under the name uncultured bacterium. RNAcentral's name for it is "partial 16S ribosomal RNA". It matches the Rfam family "Bacterial small subunit ribosomal RNA", at positions 523 to 796 of the family's 1533-position model. The record is from RNAcentral.
AUACGGAGGGAGCUAGCGUUGUUCGGAUUUACUGGGCGUAAAGCGUGCGUAGGCGGACCAUUCAGUUGAGGGUGAAAUCCCAGGGCUCAACCCUGGAACUGCCCUCAAAACUGGUGGUCUGGAGUAUGGGAGAGGUAGUGGAAUUCCGAGUGUAGAGGUGAAAUUCGUAGAUAUUCGGAGGAACACCAGAGGCGAAGGCGGCUUACUGGACCAUUACUGAUGCUGAGGCACGAAAGCGUGGGGAGCAAACAGGAUUAGAAACCCUAGUAGUCC